AUGCUCGCUUCAGUGGCACAUAUAUUAAAACUGGAACAAUACAGAGAAGAUUGGCACGGCCCCUGCCCAAGGAUGACACACAAACUCAUGAAGCAUUCCAUAUUUUU
Callithrix jacchus (white-tufted-ear marmoset) is the source of this 107-nucleotide small nuclear RNA. NCBI's taxonomy places the organism in Eukaryota, Metazoa, Chordata, Mammalia, Primates, Cebidae. The record is from Ensembl.